This 3053-nucleotide ribosomal RNA is filed under the name candidate division CPR1 bacterium GW2011_GWA2_42_17. Its description in RNAcentral is "23S ribosomal RNA". It matches the Rfam family "Bacterial large subunit ribosomal RNA". Lineage: Bacteria; candidate division CPR1. The record is from RNAcentral.
UAAGGGCGUAUGGUGGAUGCCUUGGCACAAAAAGGCGAUGAAGGACGUGGCGUAGCUGCGAUAAGUCACGGACCUCUCAGUAACCAGAGGAAAAGAAAACAUGUGUCUUACUUGUUUUAUUAAAGCUAAUUUUCAAAUGCAAAUUUGAUUUUUGGUUUUGAUAAAAUAAGUAGAUGCGCAUUCCCUUAGUAGCGGCGAGCGAAAAGGGAAGAGCUCAAACCGUGUGUGUUUGCGAUUUUUCGCAAAUGCGUGCGGGGUUGUAAGAUAAAGACGUUUCGUAAGAAGGAUGGCGCAAAAGAAAAAAUUUGUUAGUCAAAUGACUCUGGAAAGAGCAACCAAAGAAGGUGAUAGUCCUGUAGGCGAAAAUAAAUUUUCGCCAUCUGUCUUUGUCUUGAGUAAUGCGGGGAACGACAGCCCCGUAUGAAUCCGGCUGGCCUACCAGCCAAAGCUAAAUACUUUUUGUGACCGAUAGUGAACAAGUACCGUGAGGGAAAGGUGAAAAGUAGCCCGAUGAGGGCGGUGAAAUAGUAACUGAAACCAUAUGCCUACAAUGAGUCGGAGCCUGUUCGCAUCUUACUGCGUAAGUGGGUGACGGCGUGCCUCUUGGAGAAUGAACCAACGACUGUAUGCGUAUUGCUGUUUAAUCCCGUUCUGCGGGAGAAGACAAAGGGAAACCGAGUCUGAAAGGGCGAUCGCAAUUAAUUUUUCUUUUUAUUAGCAGGUUAUUUUAUAGCCCACUAAUAAAAAGAAGAUUUUUUGCAAGUAUUACGUAUACGACCCGAAGCCAGGCGAGCUACCCAUGAUCAGGAUGAGCCUCACAGAAAUGUGAGGGGAGGUCCGAACCCACGAGCCGUACAAUACUCGGGGAUGAAUUGUGGGUCGAAGUGAAAAGCUAAUCGAGCCUGGGAAUAGCUGGCUCUCCCCGAAAUCGUUUUAGGACGAGCCUCAGAUGGUCCCGUUAGGAGGUAGAGCACUGGAUGGUAACCAUUGGGCGCAAGCUCGGGUUACCAAUCAAACUCCGAAUGCCUGACGGCAAAGUCUGGGAGUGAGACCGUGGGGGCGAAGCUCCACUGGUCAAAAGGAGAAGAAUCCUUAUCAUCAUCUAAGGUCCCUAAAUGAAUACUAAGUGGAAAAAGUGGUGUAAAUUCUUAUACAGCGAGGAGGUUGGCUUAGAAGCAGCCAUCCUUCAAAGAGUGCGUAACAGCUCACUCGCUUAGAAUUUAUGCGCUGAAAAUUUAACGGGGCUCAAGUAUUCUACCGAAGAUAUGGAUCAGGUUGGUGGUAGGGGAGCGUUUUCUGUGCAGUGAAGCCCAAAUGUGAGUUUGAGUGGAGCGCAGAGAAGUGCGAAUGUUGGUAUAAGUAACCGCAAGACCGGUGAAAGCCCGGUCCGCCGCAAAUCUCAGGUUUCCUUGGCAAUGACAAUCAACCAAGGGUUAGUCGGUCCUAAGGUGAUGCCGAAAGGCGCAGCUGAUGGACAGCAGGUUAAUAUUCCUGCACUACCAUAAAGAGUGAUGGAGGGACGCAAUCAAGUAUCUUGAUCCUGGCAGUGGUAUCCAGGUUGGUAGCGUGAGGGUCAGACGUAGGUAAAUCCGCGUCUGUGCAUUCAAUUGUGACCCCAAGCGUUAUCGGGUUCCGCUUUACGCGGAGAACUCAAGAAAGCUGGUUGCCGAGAAAAACUUCUAAACUUAUCUUUAUGGUAACCGUACCGCAAAACCGACGCAGGUAGAUGAGGAGAGUAUCCUCAGGCGAACGGGUGAGGCUUCGUUAAGGAACUCGGCAAAACAGCGGCCGUACCUUAGGUAUAUGGCCUGCCUUCUUUUGGUUUACGCAAGUAAAUUUUCAAGAGGGCCGCAGCGAAAGACAUUUGGCGACUGUUUAUCAAAAACACAGCUCUAUGCUAACUCGUAAGAGGAUGUAUAUGGGGCGACACUUGACCAGUGCUGGAACGUUAACGGUGAAGGUGUUGUUUGCUCGCAAGAGCAGGUAAUGCUUGAGCCCGAAGCGCCAGUGAACGUCAGCGAUAACUAUAAUCGUUCUAAGGUAGGGGAAGCGAAAUUCCUUGUCAGGUAAGUUCUGACGCGCAUCAAUAGUGUAACGACCAAAUGACUGUCUCAACGAAGUGCCCGGUGAAAUUGCAUUAGGGGUGAAGAUGCCCCUUACCUAUGGUUAGACGAAAAGACCCCGGGAGCUUUACUGUACCUUGAUAUUGGCCUUACGAUGCAGAUGCGUAGUGUAGUGGCGAGCCUUUGAAGCUUUGUUUUCGGACAAGGUGGAGGCGACAAUGAAACAGUCAUCUUUUGUAUUGUAUGUUCUAACUUCUAUGGCAAAAACAUAGGAAGACAGUGUCUGGUUGACAGUUUAAGUGGGGCGCUUGCCUCCAAAAAAGUAACGGAGGCGUUCAUUAAGGUCAGCUAAGUACGAAUGGAAACCGUACUGAUAGCGCAAUAGCAUAAGCUGGCUUGACUGCAAGGCGUACAUGCCGCGCUCUCUCGAAUUUAAUUACAAGAGAGAACUUUGUGGAUUUAUUCAUGAAGUAGGUACGAAAGUAGGAUAUAGUGAACCGACGGUUCGCAGUAGUUGCGGCCGGAGAUCAGCGGAUAAAAGUUACCCCGGGGAUAACAGGCUCGUCGCAUCCAAGAGUUCAUAUCGACGAUGCGGUUCGGCACCUCGAUGUCGGCUCGUCGCAUCCUGGAGGUGGAGAAGCUUCCAAGGGUUGGGCUGUUCGCCCAUUAAAGCGGCACGUGAGCUGGGUUCAAACCGUCGUGAGACAGGUUCGACUCCUGUCGACCAUAGGCGUGGAUCCUUGAGAGAAGUUGUUCCUAGUACGAGAGGACCGGAAUGAACUGACCUCUGGUGUACCAGUUGUCCUACCAAGGGCAUCGCUGGGUAGCUAUGUCGGGAAAUGAUAAGCGCUGAAAGCAUAUAAGCGCGAAGCAUAUCUCAAGAUUAGGGAUCAUUCCCGUAAAAGGGAUAAGAUCGGUUGAAGAUUACGACCUUGAUAGGCUGUAGGUGUAAGCGUGGUAACGCGCUCAGCCGAGCAGUACUAAUAGAUC